GACGAACGCUGGCGGCGUGCUUAACACAUGCAAGUCGAACGGAAAGGCCCUGCUUUUGUUGGGUGCUCGAGUGGCGAACGGGUGAGUAACACGUGAGUAACCUGCCCUUGACUUUGGGAUAACUUCAGGAAACUGGGGCUAAUACCGGAUAGGAGCUCCUGCUGCAUGGUGUGGGUUGGAAAAUUUCGGCGGUUGGGGAUGGACUCGCGGCUUAUCAGCUUGUUGGUGGGGUAGUGGCUUACCAAGGCUUUGACGGGUAGCCGGCAUGAGAGGGUGACCGGCCACAUUGGGACUGCGAUACGGCCCAGAAUGCUACGGGCGGCAGCAGUGGGGAAUAUUGCACAAUGGGGGGAAGCCUGAUGCAGCAACGCCGCGUGCGGGAUAACGGCCUUCGGGUUGUAAACCGCUUUGGACUGUGAUGAAGCGUGAGUGACGGUAAUGGGUAAAGAAGCACCGGCUAACUACGUG
Molecule: ribosomal RNA, 468 nt
Filed under: uncultured bacterium
Lineage: Bacteria
Description: partial 16S ribosomal RNA
Rfam family: Bacterial small subunit ribosomal RNA
Source: RNAcentral